Molecule: ribosomal RNA, 344 nt
Filed under: uncultured bacterium
Lineage: Bacteria
Description: bacterial SSU rRNA
Rfam family: Bacterial small subunit ribosomal RNA
Source: RNAcentral
AGAGUUUGAUUCUGGCUCAGGAUGAACGCUGGCGGCGUGCUUAACACAUGCAAGUCGAACGAAGCACUUAAGAUUGAUUCUUCGGAUGAAGUCUUUUGUGACUGAGUGGCGGACGGGUGAGUAACGCGUGGGUAACCUGCCUCAUACAGGGGGAUAACAGUUAGAAAUGACUGCUAAUACCGCAUAAGCGCACAGGGUCGCAUGACCUGGUGUGAAAAACUCCGGUGGUAUGAGAUGGACCCGCGUCUGAUUAGCUAGUUGGCGAGGUAACGGCCCACCAAGGCGACGAUCAGUAGCCGACCUGAGAGGGUGAUCGGCCACAUUGGGACUGAGACACGGCCCAA